CCCUUUAGGGAAUUGCCUUUUCUUUUUAUUUUCCUUCUUUUUUGUAUAAGUUUAUUUAUUUAUUCUUCUCCCCUCUAAAUCAAAGUUUUAUUUUGGACAUAAUGCAACAAACAACAAACCUACAAAACAAACAAACGUUUCCUUUUCAUUUACUUGUUUCUAACCACUCCUAAUUGUCACACACAACAUAAGAACUGAAUCUAAUUAUUUCUUACAAAUACCUUCCUCGUGGGAUCGAUAACUUUUUAUACUAUAACUUGAUUGGUUGUGCACUUGCAACAUUUGGUACAUGUUUUUGUUUCAUCGAAUUUUUAGCGUCGUUGCCGGGGAACGGUGUUUUUGUUAUAUUUUAAUUAUUUUGGUACUUUAACUUGUGUGUUUUCUUGUGAAGGAACCACUUGGAGCUUGAGAUUAAGGAUUGAAGAUUGAAGAUUUUGAGAUUAGCUUGAAGUUUGAUUCACAUUUUGGAUUUGCUUGAGGUAACGAGCCAGGUGCACGGAGAGCUGUAGCUUGAUGGAUUUGCUCUACUUACUACUUAUAGAUAUUUUAUUAGUUAGCAGAUUAUGUUUAGGACUCCACGACGACUUGGUUUAUGAACAUUGAGAUGUUAUUUCUAAUUUUGUAAAGGCAAGAUGCCUUAUUGUCAUGUCCUUUGUUCUAUGUCAAGACAGUUGUACUCAGUUCAGAUAUUGUUCCUUUUCUGAGA
Asparagus officinalis (garden asparagus) is the source of this 706-nucleotide long non-coding RNA. RefSeq lists it as uncharacterized. Lineage: Eukaryota; Viridiplantae; Streptophyta; Magnoliopsida; Asparagales; Asparagaceae. The transcript has 2 exons. The record is from RefSeq and is a predicted model, not a curated record.